Molecule: transfer RNA, 74 nt
Filed under: Candidatus Omnitrophota bacterium
Lineage: Bacteria; Pseudomonadati; Candidatus Omnitrophota
Description: tRNA-Arg
Rfam family: tRNA
About the family: Transfer RNA (tRNA) molecules are approximately 80 nucleotides in length. Their secondary structure includes four short double-helical elements and three loops (D, anti-codon, and T loops).
Source: RNAcentral
GCGCUUGUCGCUUAAUUGGAUAAAGCGCUGGCCUCCGGAGCCAGAGAAUCCGGGUUCAAUUCCCGGCAAGCGCA